UACGGGGGGGGCAAGCGUUGUUCGGAAUUACUGGGCGUAAAGGGUUCGUAGGUGGCCAACUAAGUCAGACGUGAAAUCCCUCAGCUUAACUAGGGAACUGCGUCUGAUACUGGAUGGCUUGAGUGUAGGAGAGGAAUGCGGAAUUCCAGGUGUAGCGGUGAAAUGCGUAGAUAUCAGGAGGAACACCGGUGGCGAAGGCGGUUCUCUGGGCAUGUCCUGACGCUGAGGAGCGAAAGUGUGGGGAGCGAACAGG
RNAcentral lists this ribosomal RNA (253 nucleotides) under uncultured bacterium. RNAcentral describes it as "partial 16S ribosomal RNA". It matches the Rfam family "Bacterial small subunit ribosomal RNA", at positions 524 to 776 of the family's 1533-position model. The record is from RNAcentral.